UCCAAGAAAUUAAGGUUAUGUCAGUUAGUAUUAGAGUAAGGCUUCAUAUUCUAUAUUCACCUCUGAAGAUGUUACAUGGUAAAAGGUUACAGAUUAAUGAGGAUAAAGUUCCUGAGGUAUGCUCCCAGUCUAGGACGAAAUAUCUUGCCAACAACAUAUUAAUCAGAAAUUUGAAGAUACAAUUGAUACUAUAAAUGUUCUAAAUUUUUAUUCACCAGCCCAGAAUAUUCAAAGGGAAAAUGAUUUCAUACACCAUUGACAUUAAAAUAUAUCAAAUGACAUAGGUAGUUCAAAAAAUAGAUCUGAAGAUGAUGAUAAUAGAGAUUUCACAUGAAAAUUUUUUUAGUCAGUUUUCAUAUUAAUUGAAAAUUAAAGAAUUUUAAACUAGAUAUCAGAGCUUUAAAGGUUUUUUGAAUAUAUGAAAACUGGUGAUGAAAAAUAGGUAUGUUACGAGAUACAGCGGAAGCAUGAAAGGGAAAAACUGACCUAACCCUUCUUAGGGCAGUAUGCCAAUAUUUAUAUUGGCAUCUAAUAAAUCUUUCUGGUAUUACAGAAAGGUUUAAUAAUGGAAACACAAAAAAGGGAAAUACAUCUAAUAAUAGGACAGAAAGAAAAAAUAAAAGGAAAGCUUAAUACAGAAAACUUGUUCUACAUAACACUCUCCCUCAAGUUGGUGCGUGGAUAUUGUUCAUUCCCAGUUUGCUCCUUUGUUUGCAGAACUUUGUUACAGAAAUGCCCUUAGUUAUUAUAUCAGCCAACUAAUUUGUAGAUGAGAAAUACUCUAUGUAAAACAUCCCCAAUUUAAGUUUCUCUUUAAUAUAAUGUCUGUCUACUUCAAUGUGUUUGGUAUUACUAUGCUGAACAAGAUCAUGUGCAAUACUUAUUGCACACUGAUUAUCACAGAAAAAGGUAAUCAAACCUUUCAUGGGUAUUUGUCAGUCAUUUAGUAUACUCUUUAUCCAAAUGCCUUCACAAAUCCCAAGGGUCAUUGGCUUAAACUCCACUUUAGCAGUUGAUCAAGUCACAACUCUCUAUUUUUGGCUUCACCAAGUGACCAAAUUUCCUCCAAUGAGACAACAAUACCCAAUAGUAGAGCACCUAUCAUCAACUAAACCAAUUUUUCAACAUAAUCGACAUCAAUAUAGAUGCCUAUUGUAAGAGAAUCUCUCCUUUUAAACAAGAUUCUCAUGCCAAUUAUUCCUUUAAGAUAGGCUAAUACUCGUUGAGCAGCUUGAUGAUGCACCUUCCUAGGGUCAUACAUAUAUUGGCUUAGCACUUUAAUUGAGUAAGUAUCCGAUCUAGUAUGGGAUAGAUAAAUUAAUUUUCCCACUAACUGCUGAUAAGAUUCAUUAUCUACUUGAUCACUCUCCUUUGAAGCCUCAAUACAAUGCUUCAUUUCAAUUGGUGUACACCCUAGUUUACAAUUACUCAUGCCUGUAUAUUUGAGUAAAUCUAUAAUAUACUUUCUUUGAGAUAAGAAUAAAUUUCUGCGAGAGUAAGCUACCUCAAUUCCCAAGAAGGAUUUUAGUUAUCUCAACACUUUGAUAUCAAAAACAGUUGUUAGUUGUUUUCGAAGAGAAAUGAUUUCUUACAUAUUAUCUCUAGAAACAAUUAUGUUAUCAAUAUAUACUAGUAAGAUUGCCAUUUUUUCUGAACUCGAGUGUUUAUAAAAUAAGAUAUGAUCUCCAUUGGCUUGCUUGAACCCCAAAGCUCUCAUUGCUUUAGUUGAGUGACCAAACCAAGCUCUUGGUGACUAUUUUAAGCCAUGUCUUCUUAAGUCUGCACACUUGAAGAGUAUCAUUUGGGUCUCUAUACCUUGGUGGAAGAUCCAUAUAUAUUUAUUUUGAGAUUUCUCCAUAAAAGAAUGUAUUUUUCACAUCAAAUUAUAAUAAGGAUCAUCCAUAAUCCACAGCCAAGGAUAUUAAUAUCCAAACUAUUCCCAUCUUUGCAACUAGAGCAAAGGACUCCACAUAAUGAAUACCAUAACAUUGGGUGAAGAAUUAUCCACCAUCCAAGUUUUAAAAUGCUUAACAGUCCCAUCAAAUUUAUACUUAAUGGUAUAUACUCAUAUGCAACCUAUAGUUUUCGUCCUUUUAGGAAGCAACAUGAGUUCCCAAAUUCAAUUUUUCUGUAGAACUAACAUCUCCUCAUCCAUUGCUUUUUUCCCUAGGGGGGCUUCUUAAAGCUUCAUCAAUGUUUUGAGGCAUCUUGUGUUUAUCAAUAGUUGACAGAAAUGACCUGUAUUGCAGAGAUAGCCGAUGAUAAGAGACAUAAUUGUAGGAUGGAAAUACCUUCUUCUUUGUACUUUCUCUAGUUCUUUUACAUAGAGCAAGAGGGCAGAUUUCAUCUCCUUGAGUAAUAGGAAGGUUAUGUUGAUCAAUCAGUGAUUUGUCACAUUUAAUAAUAGAAUCAUGAGAUCUACUACAUUAAGCAUACCUUGUUCAUGGACAUCUACUAUAGCAAGUAGAUCCUGUUUAUAGAUUUCAUGGGGCAUCUGCUGCAUCAAACAGAUCUUGUUCAUGGUUCCCUUUGAUUGUCUUUGGCUUUCUUUGAUAAUUACUUCGACCAAAUUGAUUUAGAGGUGGAGGUACUGGUAUCAUUUCAAGAAUCUCAAUGUGUAAAUCAUGUUUUUCUAACACAAGAAUAUCAUAGCUAGAUACUUGAGUUGUUGUUUGCUGAAAAUAUAUGUUACGUUCAUCAAAUGUGACAUUAAUUGUCACAAUAAUUUUUCCAAAUCUUGUGUCAUAUAAUUUAAACUCUUUUUGUGCAUUAAAAUAACCCACAAAAACUACCUUUAUGGCUCUAAGAGCAAAUUUAGAUAGUCCAUUCUGAGAUUGGUGGAUGUAUCUAAUAUUCUCAAACACUCAAAGAGGUAAAUCUAGUCCAUAUUACACAGUCAAAUAAUGACCUUAUAAUAAGACUUUGGGUGUCUUAAAUAAUAAUGCUUCUGAUAAGAGAUGAUUAACAAGACGAGUGGUUGUUAGUACUGCCUCACUCCAUAAGUACUUCAACACUUGGGCUUUAAACAUGAUAGUCCUUAUUAUUUCCAACAGUUGCCCAAUCUUUCUUUUCACUACCUCAUUUUGCUGAGGUGUAUAAGGGCAAGAAGAUUCAUGAAUAAUGUCCUCAACAAAGAAAUUGGAGACAAUAAUUGAAGAUAUCCUUAGCAUUAUUUGAUCAAAAUUUCUUAAGGGUUAUACUAAACUGAUUUUAAAUUAACUUGACAAACCUCUGAAAAACAUUGUUGGCUUCUGAUUUUAUUUUCAUUAGGUAAAUCCAUGUGAACCUAGUACAACCAUCUACAAAGAUGAUAAACCAUCUGAAGUCCCAAACACCAUAGAAUGAAAGACCUCAUAUAUCAAAAUGUAUUAUGAAAAAUGGGGUUCACUUUUAUUUUGAGCAGAGGGAAAUGAAAUUCAUUGCUGUUUAGCCAUUUGACAAGGUUCACAUAUGAAAGUAGAUUCACCAAUUGCACGACAUAGUUUUGGAAAUAAGUAUCGAAGUACUUUUAUGGAUGAAUGUCCAAAACGACAAUGCAACAAUAACAAUUUGUUCAAGGAAGAAGUAGAUGCAAAAGUGGAAAUGUUUGGACUAGAAUUCGUCAACAAUAUCUUGUCCAUACACCUUGUGUAGUAGAGUCUAUCCUGUGCUCUAACAUGCCCAAUCCUCCUACCCAAGGUCUUGUGGCAUAGAAGAAACAUAAAUCUUUGUAAAAUAAUAACAAACAAUUCAAGUCUUUACCCAAUUUUCUCAAUCAAUAGGUGUGCAUUCAAUCUUAGAACAUGAAGAAUAUUUCUAAAUGACCCUAAUUUCUCAAGAUGAAUUGAUCCAAUACCAACUAUAGGCAACAAAUCCUCACUUACAGUAAUAACUUUCCAAUUAUUAGUGCAUACCUCAUAUGUUAUAAAUAGUGAUGCAUAUGGUGUUAGAUGAUCAAUAGCUCUAGAAUCAAUGAUCUAGGGCACUUUUAAGGGUGAAGGUGAUGCCAAUGAUGAUGUAUUUAAGCAUAAUGAAAAAUGUUUAGGAAAAUACUCGCUAACAUGUGCGAGGGAAGUGGAGCUGAUCAUGCUUCUUAGCUGUUCAAUCUUUUUCCUGAGUUUUUCAAUCUCCAAAGGCCGAGAGGAAGUAGAUCUGUCUGGACUAGCUCCUCCUUGUAUGAUGGGCUUAACACCAUCUUCAUUUUGAACAUUACCCAAAUGCAACUUAUCAUAAUUCUGUGGUUUGCCAUAGAUCUUUUAGCAUGUCUCCCUAGCAUGACAAUUUUUCCAACAAUAAGUGCAAAAUAGGUGUGCCUUCGGAUUUGUCUUGAGAUCUCUUUUUAUGAAUGGUACUUUACCAUCCCCCCUUUUAAAUCCAAAUAUAUCUUUACUCUUGAGAUCAUCGAAUGUAACAUUUUCUGUCUUUAAAUCAUUCCUCAAAUUUCUAGUAUUUUCUUCUUCUCUGGCUAAUGCGAUUGUCUCUACAAUAUCUGGUACUACUUCUUGAGCAAGGAUCAGAUUUACUAGAGUCUCAUACUCUAGAUUUAUCCCCAUCAAAAACUUACACAACAUCUUUCACGAUGCAAUUUCUUUCUUUAGUAUUAAGUUCUUGAUUAGUCUGUAGUGGUCGAUUUCUCUCCAGAUGGAUUCAAAUUCACAAGCAUAUUCCAGAACAGUCAAUGUUCCCUAAAGUCAGAGAUUUCUAUACUAAUCUAUAAAUUUGGGAUUCGUCAUGUUUAGAAGAGUGACCAUAACGAACUUGGUCUCAUAUUUCUUUCACAGAUUUCAAAAAAAGGAAUCUAUCACUUAUCUUUGGUGAAAUAUUGUUCAACAUCCAAUAUUGAAUCAUUGUUUCUUCUUCUUUCCACUAAGAAUAUCCUGGGUUGUCAAUACUUGGCGAGGAUUGCAUCAGGUGACAAUCCAGAUUCUUCCCACGUAGAAUAAGUUUUACAUACCUUAAUUACUUCAAAUGAAUAUUCUGGGCCAAAGGAGGAAGAUUCACUGACCUUUGUCUCCAUGUUCUUCAGCCGUGACUAAAUAGUUGAAGAAAAAUCUCAAAUAGAGAUUCCUUAAUGUAGUACAAAUAACCGUUAAUAUUCAAGAAACUGAGGAUGACUACCACUGUCAAAACCACCUUCCCCACUUAUCCGGGCUGGGGGGUUUGACACGUUCCAACAAGAGAUGUCCUGCCACCGUAAAAAAUUGAUGAUAGUGUAUUUGUAGACGUUUGUCACCAUCAAGAAAUGAUGAUGGUGUAGUGACUCUCCAAAGAAUCAGCCGGUCUACUUACGACGAAGAAACCUCACGAUUUCAGGUAUUGCAAAUAGGAAGAAGAUCACCAAGCAACAAUGCCUACAAUGUAGAGUCAUCAUUGCCACCAAGGUUGGUUGAUCUUCCAUCAACAGUUCACACAGGAUCAGAGACAAUGCUCUAAUACCAUGCUACGAGAUAUAGUGGAAGCAAGAAAGGGAAAAACUGACCUAACCCUUCUGAGGGCUGUACACCAGUAUUUAUAUUUGCAUCGAAUAAACCUUUCCCUAAUACUGGAAAGGUUUAAUAAUGGAAACACAAAAAAGGGAAAUACAUCU
This 5566-nucleotide long non-coding RNA is filed under the name Spirodela polyrhiza (greater duckweed). RNAcentral describes it as "long non-coding RNA (SPOL_LNC000506)". The record is from RNAcentral. Lineage: Eukaryota; Viridiplantae; Streptophyta; Magnoliopsida; Alismatales; Araceae.